ACGUAGGUGGCAAGCGUUGUUCGGAAUUAUUGGGCGUAAAGGGCGCGUAGGCGGCCUUGUAAGUCAGCUGUGAAAGCCCGGGGCUCAACCCCGGAGGGUCGGCUGAUACUGCAAGGCUAGAGUACGGAAGAGGUAGCUGGAAUUCCCGGUGUAGUGGUGAAAUGCGUAGAUAUCGGGAGGAAGGCCGGUGGCGAAGGCGGCGCUCUGGAACAUUUCUGACGCUGAGGCUCGAAAGCGUGGGGAGCAAACAGGA
Molecule: ribosomal RNA, 253 nt
Filed under: uncultured prokaryote
Description: partial 16S ribosomal RNA
Rfam family: Bacterial small subunit ribosomal RNA
Source: RNAcentral